CCCCUCUCCUCCCCCAGCACCCACCCCGGCACCCCUCUCCUCCCCCAGCACCCACCUCUCUCCUCCCCACAGCACCCACCACCCACCCCGGAACCCCUCUCCUCCCCCAGCACCCACCACCCACCCCGGAACCCCUCUCCUCCCGCCAGACCCACCCCCAGCACCCACCCUGGCACCCCUCUCCACCCCUAGCACCCACCCCGGCACCCUGUCCCCUCCAGCAAGGAGCACCCCCUUUCCGCCGGGCAGUCGACCCCCCUGCAAGCAGCCCAGAGCCCACCCGUGCAUCCCGAGCGCCCGUCCCGGAGCCCGCUCCCCGGCGGCAGGCGGCGGGGAGCGGGGCAGGGCGCGGAGCUGCUUACCCGGUCUCCUCCUCCUCGAGCUCCGAGAUGUCCACGAAGAUGAGGAAGCCCACGAGCAGGAUGCCAAGUGAUGCCAGAAGAUUGAGCAGCGGUUUCGUUGAGGUCAGAACUUCCAGCCAGGACCUGCCCAUCAAAAACCAAUAAUCUAGAUAAAGACAUUGAGUUGCUGACGAUUCAGGAUGGGUCUCCAUCUUCCCUUUUUUCUUGGUGAUCAGGAAGUAUCUGGAAUGAAAACCCUUUCCUUGAUGUUUAUAUGGCACCAGAUCUACGGCUCUGCAUCAGAAAAGGGAAUCCACCUCUUGGAUGAGUAUCCCAUCGUUUGAAGACAGGAUCAGCUUGGGAUGCUGGAGGGUUCUGAUUCAGACCAUGUGGCAGUAGAGGACGAAUGGGGGAGGUGAUCUGUUCACAUCACCCCUUUAUGCCCUGGGUUUGGAGCAUGAGGAGGAGAAGAACACAGGCCAGACCAAUGGACACUGCUAGGAAGACUCCUAUGGUCUCAGAUGCAAGGAGCUCAUGCAUACUCCACAGUGUUACACACACAAAAAUCAGCACUGGAAGAAGAACUAGGGAAUCCACCCAUUACAAUUACUUUGACUUCAACUAUAAACAGUACAUCCUUAUCUAAGGGCCUGACCCUGCCUUCCCUGUGCACCCAAAACUCCCACUGAAGUCAACUAUGGCAUUUUUAAAAUAAAAACUCCUUUAGUUUUUAGAAUUUCAGGACAUGGGAACCCACGUAAUACCAAACUAACAAAAAAGCUUGGAUGAAACAAACCACUAGAUCGCACAUAGACCUUCUCACCAGAUUUCCAGCCCCGUUUUGCGAACUUGAUGUCCCAAUAACCUGACAAGUACUCGGAAAAAUCAACGUAAAGGUCUUGACCUCAGCGAGUUUACACUGGAGCUGGAUUUGAUGCCUGGUCUUUGCAUUCAAUCAAACUCUUGAACCUUCUGAGGUUCACGCAUUCCUAGUGGAAAAAAAACCCUCCAUUUAUACAUGGAAAAGUAGUGAUCAAUCAACUUUUAUCGCUCCAGCUUUCAUUACAGCAGCUUAGAACAAUAGAAUAAAAGCACGUAAUGAAAACAUUGUAAAAAUGUAAUAAAAACACACAAUCCUUGACUGUGCAAGCUUUGCUGUUUUAGCACAUCUUGGGGAACUGCACAGGAGAGGGCAGUCCAGCCUUCUGGUGUGCUGCCAGUAACCUCCAUAACACUACAUCACACUCUUUCCACUCCGGGAAUUGUGCCGAUUUAAACCACAGGAGUUAUGGGAGACUUUCACAAUGUUUAGAUGCAGCAAAUACCUGAAAGGUCUCUGGAUGGGUUUUGUCAUCUUGGCAUGGAAAGUUAGGUGGGAAAAUCGCUUGAGAACAGCCUCUCUCGUUGUACCACGAAGCUUCCUGGAAAUAGCAAGGAGAGAAAAGAUAGGUUCAGUUUGGGAUUUGGAAGAAAGUUAAGGGAGGUGUGGGUGGUCAUGAUGUUCUUAAACAAUUUGACCUGUCCAGACCCAUCUCUAAUUUAAACUUUUUGGACCAGAUUCAGCCUAGAUAUGAAUAGACUCAACUCCCAAAGUACCUGCCAAAGGCUGGAUUUGGCUCUUCGUGGCUGCCUAGUAUCACAAAGGUGCCACCCUGUUUGCUUUCAAGAGAUUAUUUCAUCUAAUCUAAUCUAAUAAUAGAAUAUCAGGGUUGGAAGAGACCUCAGGAGGUCAUCUACUCCAACCCCCGGCUCAAAGCAGGACCAACCCCAACACCAGUCCAUGAAGCACAAUGGUAUAUGAGCACCUAACUAUCCCUUCUCCGGCUCUCAUUAUUAUAAUAUUCUGGUUCCAGAAUUAAUCCUUUCCCACAUACAUUUUCAGUUUGGAAAAAAAAAAAAGUAGGAAAUAUCUCCCAGGAUGGGAAAAUCUCAUUAAUUUACCCCACCCCCAUGUGGUGUGUUCAUGCCCAUGUCUCUUUUCACAGUGAUAAAUAAAUCUAGGCAGUGAUUUUACUGUCAGUUCGAAGAGGCCCAGAGAGUUUGCCUUUUAUUUUAAUAAUUAACAAUUAAUGUUUUCACCUUCAAAAUGUUUCACAAACAUUAAAGAAGCACUAUGAAUUUAACAGUCACUCUCUGAUUUGAAUAUUUUUUUGCCUGUUAUUACAAGUAACACCUCAGAUGACUGGACUGUAAGAGGUUAAAGAAAAUAUUAUUCUUGAUUUUGUUUGCUUUUGACAACAGUUUGAGCAUAAACAUUUCCACUGCUUCUGUGGAACAGUCAAUCGCCGCCCCCCGCCCCUUGUUUGUGUGGCUCUUUUUAAUGGAAAAAACGGAAAGAGAGAAAUUUAAAACAAGUUGAAGUCACUGGAGUUGCCCCAUUUACCCCAGCUCUGAAUUUAGCCCGAUGGAAUUUUAUUGUUUCUUUAUCUACUGGAAAGAAUGUUUAAAAGUUUAAUUGGCAUAUAACGAGAUAACUAUAACAAGUUAAUUAGUUCUCAAUUACGUUGCAUUUGCCAUACGUUCUGAGCGUGCUCUUAGCAAUUAAGGACACCUAAUGAACUUGCUAUAGUGAUUGGGUUUACCAUGUUAAGAAAACUAAACUAAAAUACAGAUAUAAAAAAUAAUGCACACACAUAUUUUUAUAGCACAUUAGAAGCAAAGCAUGGUCUAGUAAAAAUGGACUUACACCUCCAGGGCUGCUGCAGAUUCUAUAAGGGAUAUGGCUCGUAAAUUUACACUGGCACACCGAGUCAAAUCUGCUAUGAACCAGCUGGCUUUCAAGAUGGGCCUUGCUGGAAAAAGUUUUCCUGGGAGCAAUAUGAGAAUUUCAAAGGAAGACGAGAGGAAAGGAAUCAAAGUUGCAUGAUAAUGUCAAUCAGUCAUUCACCAUAGCUGUAAAAUAACAUAGUUCAGAUCAUUAAGGCAAUUGAUUGUGUUGCGGUGAACUGAAGAUCUACUGUGUGACAACAGAAGCUGCAGUGGGUGAAGGAAAAGGGUUAAACGCCCUUCAAAGAUCAUUUAGCCAGGUUCUUCGGUCAGCCUCAUCUCCUUCGUCUCUGAGCACCUUUCAGUAAUGCAUUAAGCAACAAGACUAACAUGCUGGUUCCGUACCAAGCCCUGAUUCCUCCCCGUUGUGAAGAGCGGGAGGGCAGAACACAAGCUCACCCCUCUCAAUACGCUGGCCUGAGCACUGAGCGUCCAACCUGUGUGGACACAGAAAUGUGGUUCAUGAAACUCUUCUUAUGGCAAGGGAAUGAUGACGCUGCUGUAUUGCCAACACCAAAUGUUCAAAGAUCAUGAGUCAGACUCACCAAAAAUCACAAGAUUGGCUUUAAAAUCACGAGAUAUAAAAAUAA
Caretta caretta (loggerhead turtle) is the source of this 3697-nucleotide long non-coding RNA. RefSeq lists it as uncharacterized. The record is from RefSeq and is a predicted model, not a curated record. NCBI's taxonomy places the organism in Eukaryota, Metazoa, Chordata, Testudines, Cheloniidae.